UUAUAACGUAGCCGUGCGGCUGGUUUGUAACCCCUAACGCGAUUGGUCUGCUCAAAUAGAAGGCUGCCUGUGAUUGGCUCCGAGUGUCCUGUUGACCGAAGGUGGACUCCCAGAGAGCAGGGAUCGCUGGAAGCAAAAAAUUCCUGCUUCAAACUGCACCAUGCGCCUCCCAUGAGUGGGUUUGGAGCAACCACCGGGAAGUUUGUACGCAAAGAUAUAUCCAAAUAAUGGAGACGCCUGGUCACUCGGGAGUUUACACGGAAUGAGCCCACUUUUGGGGUGUUUUUUCAUGAUAAUUAUUACCGCCCGAGCCUAGAGUAAUGACGCCUCCUAAACUACACAGAUGGGGUUCAGCGUGUGCAAAAUCUGACAGAAGAACCAAUGUAUUUGCACCAUACUGGAACUACCUAUUCGAUGUGGCCCAUCACAGAUAACUGGAUUUUAAGUCGAGUAAAAUAAUGGCAUCACGCUGGACGCAUUCUUAUGAGGAUGGCGACAGACAACAAGCCAGAUCUUCAUUCUGUGAGAAUGUUUACUCAACUUUUUGGAUGAAGUGGGAGGACAGGGUUGAUGGAGGUGGAGACAUACAUUAUGAGAAGACCGGCCACAGUUACAUAACGGUCAUGACCCUUGUGUUGCCACCAGACGAGACACCAUCUGCUCUUUCAUUAAAAUGAAGCUCUUUACUUUAUCUGGCAUGCAUCUUUCUGUAUCUAAUUUGCUACUUAGUAUUUACUGCAAUACUCCUGUUAAUCUUAUAUAAUAUUUGUAUUGCCUUAUAUUCAGAAGCAGUAAUAUAGCUGCCUGUUGUUAUAUCUUACAAGCUUUCUACCAAAUUAAUUUUUAAUCUAUAUUGAAUUACGGAAACAAAGCUUUGUAGCCAGUGAAGCAGUAAUUAAACCGCCUCCAGUGUAAAGGAAUGGUAUGUAAAUAAUUUGCACAAUAUGGUUUCAGCUUUAUGUUUGAGUUACAUCUCUGCUUUGUUUAUAUGAGAGCAGCACCUCUCAUGAGAAACACUGCAGUGUCGUGUAGUGCGGUGGGAGCACCACCAGUGGAGAACCUUCUUUCAGCAAUCCUUAUAUUGGGCUGACCACACAAACCAAUUCAUGUGCUAAUUUAGAUCCGGAAACCCCCCCCCCCCACAGUCUGCUCCGAAGAUUUGCUGGAAAUGGUGACUGUGAAUGUAGGUUCUACUGACUUCUGGGCUUUGAGGAGGCUGUAAGUCGUGCCUUCUCAGAUAAGAAAGGAAAAACUUGAGAACUUGAAAUAGGAUGUGUAUCAUUGCUAGAAGCAGAAUAAAGAGCAAGGACUGAGAUAAGAUACUGUUCUUACUGAAUCUUGCACAGUGGCAAAGGAUUAGUUUGAAAAGGGUUUAUCUCAGAGCAAGUAGCAAGUUUUCAAGAAUUUCAGAGGACUUUCUUGCAGUUGUUGUUUACAUUGUACUUUUCAAGCUGUUAUCAGUUCAGUGGUGCAUGGGGUUUUCAAUUGUACAACCCAGUCGAAAGCCAAACAGCGACAGCGCCACUUUCCUUGACCUCUGUUUGAUUAUGCCUCGGCCACUCCGCAAUCAUUUGAUGGUGUUGAU
This is a long non-coding RNA of Neogobius melanostomus (round goby), 1585 nucleotides long. NCBI's taxonomy places the organism in Eukaryota, Metazoa, Chordata, Actinopteri, Gobiiformes, Gobiidae. The record is from Ensembl.